This 7580-nucleotide long non-coding RNA is filed under the name Lupinus angustifolius (narrow-leaved blue lupine). RNAcentral describes it as "long non-coding RNA (LANG_LNC003100)". Lineage: Eukaryota; Viridiplantae; Streptophyta; Magnoliopsida; Fabales; Fabaceae. The record is from RNAcentral.
AACAAUGGAAUAUGAUUGCAAUUAAAUCAGAUAAUCAUAUUGGAUUUAUUUAUUGGAACAUGGUGGUGUGAAAUAUAAAAAAAUACUCAAUUCCCACAAAGAAGAGUUUUUAAAAAACAACUCCCAAGUCCCCAAAUUGGAGAGAUGAUGAACAUAGAAAAAAUCUUAUGCUUUCUCCCCUCAUUAUAAUUGGCCCCAAAUUGUAUGCGCUUUCUUCAACUUUUUCUUUGUCCUUUAUAUUUUUUGCCGAUGCAUUUUUAAUAAACUUCUCGCCCUUUCUUUUUGUGGCACUAAGAAAUGGCAUAGGCGGCCCUAUUAUGGGAAAUUGAUACACACGACAUAUACAAAGGGGGCAGAGAGAACAAAGAUAAAGAGGAAAGUAAGCAGAAAAAGCAUACUGAUAUCAUCCAUACACACUUAACGAAGCAGAGAGCAUAAUCCAUAUAUAUAUAUAUAUCCAACAAGCAAUUGUAGAUAUUGCCUGCAUACCUACAAAUCUAGCAAAGAGGUACACACAGAUACAAAACAUCAAGAUAGACCUUCGUACAUCAUCCUAUUACAUCCCAGUUUCGUACUGUAAAAUCAAAUAGCAAAAGGGGUAAUUUUCUUACCGAAACCCCUCGCUUAUGCGAUUCGGAACCACCGCGAGUCGUCGGGUGGGUAAGAAUCUAAAUCCGGGUCACCGGGAGGGUUGAAGUUUCAUUGAUGAAUACCAUCACCAACCACCAUCAUCACCGCGCCGGAGAGGGAGAAGGCGAAAUUGGGGGUUUACCCCUAGCCAUGACCCCUGGGGUGAUUAGGCCGAGCCCUUUGCACCACCGUAGCGCCACCAUCGCCAUCAUCGCGCCGCCUCCGUGGUUACCGCGUGAGAAAGGAAGGAUUUUAGGGAUUUCCCUAGGUUGGCUUCGUGAAGAAUGGAGAUAAUGUGAAUUCUCCCCUUCUUUUGAUUCUUUACACGUGAGUUUUAGUUUUUUUAGUUGUUUUGUUAUUUUUGUUUUGUUUUAUUAGUUUUAUUGUUUUUUGUUGUUUAGUAUUAGAGUAAAUUACACUGAUCCUCUGAGUUUUAGUGAAAUUACACAAACCACCCUUCACUUUUCUAGUGAAAUUAAUUUAAACAAAAUAUGAUAUAUUGUGUAGACAAGUCUAAAUAAUAUACAAAUCAAUGUAUCUUUAUUAUUUUUGGUUCGUUACACUACAUUAUAAGAGUGAUUUAAACAAUAUUUCUUUGUAAUUGUUGAUGCAUUUUAUAACAAAAAAAAUAAUAGAGAUACAUUGAUUUGUAUAUUAUUUACACUUGUCUACACAAUAUAUCAUGUUUUUUUAACUCAAUUGCAUUUAUCACAUUUUUUGUUUAAAAGAUUACACUUAUUUCUUAUACACGAGUGGUCAGUGUAAUGAAAGUACAAAACUAUGGGAGGUUUGUGUAAGUUUAGAAAUGUGAGGGGUGGUUUGUGUAAUUUCACUAAAAUUCAAGAGAUGUCAGUGUAAUUUACUCUUAGUAUUAUUGUUUGGGUUUGUCUCUUUUCAAAUCAGUUUUAUCAUUGUGUCCAAUAAUUAUGUUAUUAUGCAACAAUAUACACCAAAUGUUUAAUAAAAUAUAAUAACUAUCUAUAAUAACAAUAAUUAGAACAUUUUAUUAUGACAAAAAAGAUUAUUAAUAGAAUUACAUGAAAUUUUUUAUAAAUGUUUUUGAUAUAAUUUUGGGAGUUAAUCAAAGAUGGAGAGAAGGUCGUCCUGAAGGUCGCAUUACGCCGCUUCAUUUCAAUCGAUUAAAUCUCAAAACCGAUUAAACUUUAUUUUUUAAAUUAAAAUAACAAAAAUUAACCAAACAAAAACUUUUUUUCAAUAAUAAACAAAACUUGCAAAAUGAAUAUUUUUGACUAAAAAAUAUAUUAUGUUUAAUUAAAAUACCCUCAACCAAUAAACAUUUUCCCCAAAAGAACUACAUAAGUCUUGAUUCCCUUAAUAGGGAUACGUAGGACCGGGAUCAAUCUUGUCAGGCUUAACUAAAUAAAUAAAGAAAAAGUUUCGAUCAUAUAAAUUAAUUAAUUAAUCAAAUAACUUAAUAAUAAUAAUAAUAAUAGUAACAACGUCAUAUAUUUUAAUGAAGGAUACCGCUUAAAGCGGGUGGGUAGGAUGCUAAUACCUUCCCUACUUUGUAACUAACUCCCGAACCUGGAUAUCAAAAAUCCAAAAGCUUAAGGUAAUUGACCUUAAAAGAUUUUUCUACAUUUUUAACUAUAAAGUAAUUCCAUAACAAACCAAUACAAUGAUUUAAAUAAUAGAUUAUAUGUAUUUCAUCAAAUGAAAAUGUACCUUAUAAAUUUUAUAAAUUCAAUUUAAAAAUACCCCUUUAAUAUAUUUUGAUUUUCCAUUGGGAGGAUAAUUAACCCUCUUUGUCUGAGUGACUAAUCCUCUUCGAUGUAAUGUAUAUGAUAUUCCUAAGAAGUGUUAGAAUUUCUAUACUAUUAUCUGGCUUUCUACUAUUUUCUCAAUCUGGCUUGUAAGAAAUGAUGUUAUUUUUAAUUCUUCUGAGGCAAUUAUCCAAUACAUAAUGGAAAAUGUGAAGAUGAAAUCUUGGCUUUGGACCAAUGAUAAAAGCGACAAUCUUUCAAUGUCUUACCUCAGAUGUGUCAAUAAUCCUUGUGAUAGCUUACCCCUGUUAAUUCUCUGAACCCUUUUCUAGUCCCUCUUUUAUAUUUUCUUCAAAUCGUUGUAAACUCACAUACUUGUGAUACAUUAAUUAAAAAAUUUACUCUUUUACCGCCAUAUAAAAAGUCACAAUUUUGGAUUGAACAUUAGUCUUUCACCCUAGAUGAUAUGUAAGGGUUUAGCUUUUUACAAAUACUAGAUGAUCUUCUUCCUUGUAUAUUUCAUUUUAAAAUGUGUUUAAUCAGUAAUUCCUACAAAUAAAUAUAUUAAAUUUCCAAAACUAAUAUUAUUUUAAUCAACUGAGUAUUAGGAGAUAAAUAUAACCUAAAUGUUACUUUUUUCUAAAUAAGGCUUUUGUUGACUAAUUAGUAAUGUUUAUGUAAUGAGAAUAAAGUAUCUCCUAGUAUAAGGAGAUAAAUUAUCUUCUCCAGCCACUAAAAUUAUGAUACAUGUUCUAUUUAAUUAUUUUCUAUAAAAUAUUUCUAAAACUUAACAAAAUAGUACAUAUGUCAUACUUUUACAGAUCGGAGGAGAUAAGUUAUCUCCUAAUUUGAGGAGAUACUUUAUUCUCUUAUGUAAUAUAAAUAUUUCUCUUCAUUUUAAAAUAAUUAUUCAUAUAAUAAAGAGAAAUAAUUAUAUUACAUAAAGAUUACUAAUUCAUCUACAAAAGCCUAAUUUAUCUCUUUGAUUAAAAUAAUUAUAGUUUUGGAAAUUUAACAUAUUUAUUUGUUGGAAUAACUAAUUAAAUAUAUUUUGAAAUUAAAUUUAAGAGGUUGAAGAUCAUCCAAUAUUUGGAAAAAGCUAGACAUGGUGUAUCUUCUAUGGUGAAAGACUAAUGUUCAAUCAUAAAAUGCGACUUUUUAAGGUCAGUAAAAAGAUAAAUUUAUUAAAUUAAAGUGCCACAAGUAUAAGAAUUAAUAAUGCUUUGAAGAAACUAUAAAAGAGGGACUAGAAAAGGGUUCUAAGAAUAAAGAGGAGGUACACUAAUACAUGGAUUGUCAACCAAUUCGAGGUCACUUUUACCUUUGAUCCAAAACUAAGAUUUUAUUUUCACGUUCUCCACUAUAUGUUGGAUAGUUGCAUUAUAAAAAUUAAGAAUGACAUUGUUUCUAGCAAGCCAGAUUAACCAAACAAUAGAAAGCCAGAUAAGGAUAUAGAAAUUCUAAUACAUCUCAAGAUUAUCAUUUGCAUUACAUCGAAAAGAUUAGUCACUUAGACAAAGAAUGAUAGAUAUCAUAAAACAAUUGCAUAAUUAAUCAUCUAUACUAUAUAUUUAUACUAUAUAUAAAGGUGAAACAUAGUAUAACUUCCACCAAGGUAUAAUUUUCACUUCAUGUUUUUCCCUUAACAUUAUUUAAUAUUUUCAAAAAAACUAUAUAAUCAUAAGUAAUCUCUAUCAACAUAUUAAUUAACUACAUUUUUUCACAUUAAAUUGAACAUUAUCAUAAAUACACAAAAAUUAUAAUUAAAUGUAUAUCGAACACCAUAAAUAUAUUCUAAUUCUAAAAAAUAAAAUAUAUAAAAAUUGAAUGUAUAAUACCAUACAAUAUUGUCAUGUAGGCACGAAGUGCCUAUACACACUAGUCAUUAUAAUGUCAAUAUUACUAUUAAACAUUGAUAUUUUUAGCAUCAACAAUACUUUAUGUUUAAACGAUAUAUCAAUAUCUAAUAUUCUUAAGAAUGUACUAUAAUUAGUUUGUUUAUAAAGGUUAUGUAGUUUUUAAAGUAGUAAGCAAUGAUUCCAACACAACAUGAUUUAUUUCUUCAUUAUGUCCAUAAAGAAAAUUAAGAAAUUUAAGAAAAUUACCUCCAUUAGUAGAAUCAAUUGAUUCAUCAUUACCACGGAAAGGUAAUCAUUAUUUUAAUAAAAAGCGAAUGCAAUCAAGUGAUGUUGAUAAACGCUUUCGGUAUAAGUCAUGAACUUGAUCAAAUUGCUUACAUAUUGCGACUUCAAUAUGUUGAUUUUGAUUCAUCAAGAUUUUUCCAUGCAAUAUUAUGAGCAUUAUUAGGACUUCCAACAUGAUCCAAGAGUUUUUUUUUUCUUAUUCCAAAGUGUGAAUCUCUCUGUGACAAAUGUGUCAGUACCAGAUUGCUUUCUAAAUUCAGACUUAAAAAGAUAGCAAUAUAAGCAAAAUGCAGCAUCUUUUUCUAUACUAUACUCUAACAAAUUGCCAAAAUUCAUUGAACUAAGAAGGACAAAAUCUUCUUAAUUCAUUUCCACUUUUCCUUUUAGGGAAAUUAUAUUGAGUAGGUUGACAUGGUUCUCUUUGUAAAUAUACUCUUCGAAUCUUAUCUUGAUCAUUAGGAUGAUAUGAUUUAAUUUUAAUUCUUUUUUUAGGAUCCGAUGACAAUUCUUCAAAAUUAAACUCAAUCCUUUGUCAUUGAGGACUUGGUUCAGAAGAUGUCGAUGAUGAUGGUUGUUCAUUUGUUGAUAAAUUUUGUUUAAAAACUUUUUCAUUAUCCUGCAAUUAAAAUAUUAAACAAUAUAAAAAUGACUAAAAUUAUUACAUUACCAAUUUUAUAAUAUUAUAUUGGUUAUACUUAUCAUUCCCUUCAAAGUGAAAUGGUUAAAAAGCACUUGUGGAGCAUGUGUUGGUUCUAACAUUUAUACAUUCAAGUUUCAAGUCCUAAUUCCUAAAGAUAGAAUGACAUCUAUGGAAUGUGAAAUUGUCAUAUAAGGAAUAUGUUUCUUUAUCUAUUACAAAUGAAAGAAACAUAUUUGACAAUUUAUGUAUUCCAAAUGGAAGAAACACAUUAGUAUGUAUCCAACAAAGGCAAUUAUUUCAGUCCCAAAGCAAUUGUUUAUCUAGUAGAGGCUGUAUUAUAGCAUUUUGAAUUUUGAAGGUAAAUUCAUCUUUCAAAUUUAGUGUGUAAUAUGAAAUAUUGUAUAGAAUCAAUGAAAUUUGUAAUAAAGCAGACAAUGAGAUAAAGACAAAUAGCAUUUGAAGACAAUGAAUAGAAACAUUGAAAUGCAACCUAUGUUAAACAUACAAUGGAAAAAUGAAAUACCCAAUAGAAACAAUGAAAUGGAAAAUAAAUUGACUAUAUAAAAAACUAAUCACUUACAAAGUGGAACAAUGUUUGAAGGCAAUGACACAAUGUUUGAAGGAAAGACUUUUCCUGCGUAUAAAAUUGAAACUUUUACUUUUAGGUGUGUUGCUCAAAGUUGUAAUUUUUAAUUUUUGAAUUGUAAUGACCUUUUAUUUUCUGAGCAGAUGUUUCUAUUUAUCUAGUUUUUUUGUCUAUUUUGACUUCUCAUUGUGGGCUUCAAAAAUUGUAUGUAAUGUAUUAAUUUUUUUUUAAAACAAACAAGGGUUUGCAUUGCACACCCUCAUCCUACAUAGCACCAUCAAUGAUUUUGAAAUGGUAAAAUCAUUAUCUUCAUUAUAGAUGCAAGGAUAAAAAUUUAUUAAUUAAAAAAAUGUUAAUGAGAUUGUAACAAUUAAAAUUAAACUUGUCACCCUUUUAAGAUGAGAUGUGGUACUACACAUAGGUAUGUACUUUACUCUCUUGAAAUAAGUGAGAAAGUAUUGAAAAUUGUUGGAACCAUUCUCUAAACCUCAUUACUAAAAAUCUUUAAGAAUAGAAAAGUGGAUGUGAACCACUCUCUUAAUGCAGAGACAAUAGAUUACGAUUAAGGUGUGUAUUUUCUUUUCAAAUCUUAAAAUAUAAAUCACUCCAACCCCACAAACCUUUUAUACUAAGAACUACUCAAAUCUUGAUUUCAUGUUGCAUAUAUGGAUAUGUACAAGAAAAUUGAAAUCAUGUAAGAAAUAAAAAUAUAAAAAAAUAAUUUGUCCUUAUAAUAAUUAGUAAAUAAUAAUUUAUAAUGAAUAUUUAAGCAUCCCAAUCUUAUAAAUGAGGUUAGCAUCUUAGUAUGUGCGGACAUGAUGCUAGUAUCUUUCUUAAUCCAGAAUCGAUUCCUGAAUCUAAAGCUCUAAUUUAAAGACAACUACACUCUGUAUUGGAUAUGAAAUAGAGUUUUAUACAUUUUAUCGUCGAAAAACAUAGUGAUGAUUCCAAUAAAUCACGUAAUUGGUGUUAGACUAAAAAUCAAGGCGCACAAUUUUUAUUGUUCCCAAGUUUUGUUAGUAUCAAGACCUACACUCUUGGUUUUAUUUGUUCUUGUCCCAAAGUUCUGAAAGUACCCUAACUUGCAUUCUUGAUUGUUUUUUCUAGGUCUAUUUUCUUUCAUGCCCAUUUUAAGGCUUUUCAAGUGUCACAAUAAAGAGUAUAUGUUUAUAAUAUUAUAAUCAUAAUUUAUGUCUUUUAAUAAUAUAUUUACAAUAAAAUAAUAAUUUAUUGUAUGUUAAUAUAUUAAUUUAGAAUAUUAUAAUUGUAAUUUUUAUAUGUUUUUUAAUUGAAGCAAUUAGUUCUAUUCAUAUCUUGCUGGCACAAUAUUUUUAUAUAAAGAGUGUUUUACUUUUUACUCAUAUGCCUAUAUUGUGCAAAGAAACAUUAAGAAUAAAUAAACUUAUAUUGAGGUUGAGUAGUCUUUGUUGGAGAUGGCUUAAGCUUACUAUAAAAAACAAUUCACCCUUUUCCUUUUGCUUAUAGAUUUAUUCUAGUUAGUGUCACAAUAUCUACUUUCUUAAUACUUAUCAAUGUAUGAUUUGCAAAACUUAACAACAUUUAAUCAGAAAUAUAAUAUUUGUAUAAUUAAUGGGACACUUUGAUUUUUAUAUCAAAUAAUAUGGUUACAUUGUUUUAAAAAUUGAAAUGUUUUGUAACAUAUUACAUCACGAUUUUGAUGAGUUAGCAUAUCUAUUGUAGAGGAACAAAUUUUUUAUUUAAUUUUAAUUGCUUCACUUAGUUUAUCAUUUGGGUGUUAUUGCAUUUGGUAACUUUGUUUUUGAAAUUUAGGUAUUUUCAUGACAAGUGAAGCAGGUCCAAAAAGAGGCGUUGCUCCUAGAGAAAGAUGUAAAAGA